GGGAUAACACUUGGAAACAGGUGCUAAUACCGUAUAACACUAUUUUCCGCAUGGAAGAAAGUUGAAAGGCGCUUUUGCGUCACUGAUGGAUGGACCCGCGGUGCAUUAGCUAGUUGGUGAGGUAACGGCUCACCAAGGCCACGAUGCAUAGCCGACCUGAGAGGGUGAUCGGCCACACUGGGACUGAGACACGGCCCAGACUCCUACGGGAGGCAGCAGUAGGGAAUCUUCGGCAAUGGACGAAAGUCUGACCGAGCAACGCCGCGUGAGUGAAGAAGGUUUUCGGAUCGUAAAACUCUGUUGUUAGAGAAGAACAAGGAUGAGAGUAAAAUGUUCAUCCCUUGACGGUAUCUAACCAGAAAGCCACGGCUAACUACGUGCCAGCAGCCGCGGUAAUACGUAGGUGGCAAGCGUUGUCCGGAUUUAUUGGGCGUAAAGCGAGCGCAGGCGGUUUCUUAAGUCUGAUGUGAAAGCCCCCGGCUCAACCGGGGAGGGUCAUUGGAAACUGGGAGACUUGAGUGCAGAAGAGGAGAGUGGAAUUCCAUGUGUAGCGGUGAAAUGCGUAGAUAUAUGGAGGAACACCAGUGGCGAAGGCGGCUCUCUGGUCUGUAACUGACGCUGAGGCUCGAAAGCGUGGGGAGCGAACAGGAUUAGAUACCCUGGUAGUCCACGCCGUAAACGAUGAGUGCUAAGUGUUGG
RNAcentral lists this ribosomal RNA (699 nucleotides) under uncultured bacterium. RNAcentral's name for it is "bacterial SSU rRNA". It matches the Rfam family "Bacterial small subunit ribosomal RNA", at positions 140 to 826 of the family's 1533-position model. The record is from RNAcentral.